RNAcentral lists this long non-coding RNA (1716 nucleotides) under Sarcophilus harrisii (Tasmanian devil). RNAcentral describes it as "lncRNA (ENSSHAG00000025149.1)". The record is from RNAcentral. Lineage: Eukaryota; Metazoa; Chordata; Mammalia; Dasyuromorphia; Dasyuridae.
AACACUAAGCCUUAUGCUCAGAAUACAGUGAAGAUGCUAGAACCCUAGGAAGCCAAUUAGAAAGUGAUUGAGGAGGGUCCUAAAGAAGAGAGUUGCUCGCUAAACCCUCCUUGCUGAGGGACAGAGGAUAGGGCUAUCCUAUCAUUUCCUUCAACCAGAACAGAACCAUGAAGCUUGGUGUAGGAGCUGAGCUCCCCCAACCCCAGGCAGUCCUCCAGUCUCUAAGCAGAGGAGAGGCCCAGAAAGGAGCCCUGGGGACAUCCCACAGCUGGCCGGCACUGCCCCAGAGCAAGUCCCAAAAGCACAUAAGAGGUGCUGGGAGAUGGCCAAGCACCCAGAGGGCGUCCCUUGAAUCUCAGACUCACUAAAGACAGAAAAGGUUUAGUCCACUAGCCCAGGAAACAAGGAUUUGGAAUCAAGCCAAAGCCGAGAGAUGGCCUUUCCUGAGACGAGGUGCAGAACAGGGAUGAGAAAGGUUGCAAUUCAGAGGCAUCUGCCCCAGGCUGGUGUACAGGUAGUGUAAGAGAACGUUAGCCCAGGGCUCAUUAGCUCUGGAAUAAGGAGGGAGGUGGAGGAUCACCUGGAAGGGAGUCCAGGAUGGGAGUCCAGGAUGGUGAGAUCUCUAGUGACUUUGCAUCUUUUUAUACAGGCCCACUGACAAAGAAGCUCUCCUGAGGCACGGCUAUUACAUUAACACCUAAUUGAGAAUGAUCAAAGAUCAGGAAGUGGGAAGCCAGGUCUUUGAGCUGGGCCCAGCAAAGGAUGAAGACAUCACUUUGGGGGGAAAUUCUCAUAGCCAGCAUGGACCCAAAAAGAGGAUGACAUGAGAGUACGGCUCUGCUCAUCAGGGAGAUGACGAGGGAGAGACACAUCCUCUUCCACAUCCAGGGAGCCAUUGGAUCAUGGGUGGGCAGAGGCACAUUGUACUCACAUGCCCUCUUACCCACAGUGGGCUGGGAAGAGGAGGAAGUUCUUUGGCCCAAGCUGGAGAAAGACAUUGGCAGGCUCUUUGAGCCCCAUGCAGAAGAGGUCCACUCGGCCAAGUAGUGGGACUUCCUGAAGCAAGAUAGAGCACUUGGCCCCAGCACAUGGAGGGGCGGCAAGCACAGAACCAAAGCACCUGAUGCGAAAACCACCCCCUUGAGAUUUAAGCCAAUCCACACAUGCUCAAAGUUUGAGAUGUUGGGCCAGGGAUUGCACUAAGAAUAUCCAGCAACUGGUACAAUUAGAUCACUUUUCUAAGAAAUUUGAACACAAAAAAAGCAGCUCCAGCACACAUUUCCAACAUCUUAAUCCUUCCUAUCUAGGGCAUAUCUUCAAACUUUAGGGUGCUUUAAUCAUAAAAAUUCAUAAUUAAAACUCUGAAGAGAAGCCCAAUGUAUUCUCUCAUUUCAAUGCCUCUAUUCAUCACUCAUUUUGCCAAGCUCAUAAAAAUAGUUCUGCGUUCCCACCCUCACUGGCAGCCUGAUUGCUGAUGAGCCGGUGUCCAUUUUGUAUAUGGAGCAUUCGCCAGAGUGAACCUAUCAACCUCAUUAGCUGCUUAAUGCUAUCUCCAGGGUUCCACAAAGCCUCUCGAAAGGGCCACAUCAGCAAAAUUCCCUGACAAAAGCACAAUCUCGCCAGGCCGUAGUCCCUGGAACUCGGGCAAACUUUCAAAAGAUAUUUAACCCCUUUACAAGAAACCCUGAAAAGAAAAGGGAACAGAGGAAGAGCCUG